AGAGUUUGAUCCUGGCUCAGGACGAACGCUGGCGGCGUGCUUAACACAUGCAAGUCGAACGGUAAGGCCCUUCGGGGUACACGAGUGGCGAACGGGUGAGUAACACGUGGGUAAUCUGCCCUGCACAUCGGGAUAAGCCUGGGAAACUGGGUCUAAUACCGAAUAGGACCACAGAACACAUGUCCUGUGGUGGAAAGCUUUUGCGGUGUGGGAUGGGCCCGCGGCCUAUCAGCUUGUUGGUGGGGUGAUGGCCCACCAAGGCGACGACGGGUAGCCGGCCUGAGAGGGUGUCCGGCCACACUGGGACUGAGAUACGGCCCAGACUCCUACGGGAGGCAGCAG
This 342-nucleotide ribosomal RNA is filed under the name uncultured Mycobacterium sp. Its description in RNAcentral is "bacterial SSU rRNA". It matches the Rfam family "Bacterial small subunit ribosomal RNA", at positions 8 to 354 of the family's 1533-position model. The record is from RNAcentral. Lineage: Bacteria; Bacillati; Actinomycetota; Actinomycetes; Mycobacteriales; Mycobacteriaceae.